AUCAUUGCAAAUCAACUACACUUUAAUAAAAAAUUUUUAAGAAUAAAUUACACUGCAAAAACAAACAAACAAACAAAAGUUAAGUUCUUCUAAGUAUUCUUUGUCAAGUUUCUUUCCAUGGUGUUCUUUUCCUACUUGGGCAGAGCCUGAAAACCUAGAAGGAUAAUUUUGCUCUUAGGGUUUUAAUGAUUUGUUUACUGGUUCAUUUCAGAGAGUGAGCUGGAAAAAAGGGAAGUGUCCCAAGAAGUUUUUGAGGUCCCAUGACUUUCCACUAUGUCACUCCUGGUAGCACUGCCCAAACUCUUUGCAGUGCCUGGGAGAUGGGCACGCAGCAUACGCAGACUUCAGCACUACCUGGAGUGAAGGUCCCUCACACUCCUUCACCACAGCCUCCUCGGGGCAGCACCUGCCAAAGAGCCGGGAAAGUGAUCAAACAACAGCCACAACCACAGGGGCAGCCCUUCUCUCUCUCUCUCAACAAGAAUGAACUGGACUGUAAGAGCAAAAUUAUCCUUGUGGGCUUUCAGGCUCUGCCCAAGUAGGGAAAAGAACACCAUAGAAAGAAACUUGACCAAGACUACUCAGAAGAACUUAACUUUCUGUUUGUUGUUUUUGUUCUUGUUUUUGUUUUCUACAGGGUAAUUUACUCUUUAAAGAAAAUUUGUUCCUGCUGUGUAGCACUGGGAACUCUAUCUGGUCACUUAUGAUGUUGCAUGAUAAUGUGAGAAAAAGAAUGUAUAUAUGUGUGUGUGCCUGGGUCACCUUGCUGUACAGUAGAAAAUUGACAGAACACUGUAAACCAGCUAUAAUGGGAAAAAUAAAAAUCAGUUAAAUUAAAAAAAAAUUAUUAAACCACCUCUGGCCAGCAAAUGGCACUAAAUGAUGCCUGAAUUUCAAGAUCCCUUUUCCCCUAACACACAAUUUCAACAUUUCUGAAACUGGAUUAUACCUUCUACCUGACUGGUACCUUCAGGUAGUCUUUUUCCCUCUUUGUUCCCUCUCACCCCUGACUUCCCCUUGGAAUUAAACAAAUAAAAUGGGUUUACAGGGAUUAGGGUCAGUUAUAAUUUUAGAAUUAAGUCACCAAAUAUAAGCCUCUCUAUAUAUUAUAGGGCUUUGAAGUCAUUUAUUUUUUGAACUAUUAAACACUAAAACCUUUGUUAGGGAAAAUACAUUUGAAUAAGAGACCAAGUUGGUAGAAAGGAAAAAAAAAAUUUAAUGACCAAAAGAAUGCUAAUAUGUCCCUAAAGUUAGAGUUACCUUACCAUCAAGACAGAAACACAAAAGCAAGGAGAACCCGCUAAUUCACACAUCACAAAUUCCAGUGCUCAUUUAUCUCUAUUUUUAGUAAUUUGUUAGAUCUUGAUGUUAUUCUUCAUGCCUAUGUAUCAUGUAUGAUAAUGAUUUAUGGGGUUAGCUAUUCAUCUUCCCAACAGAGCUCCCUACAAAGAAACAAUUACUCUACCUCUGAGAUGGGAUGCCAUGAAAGGAAUGGUUUCCAGAUGCUUUGAUUAAAAAAAGGCUUCAAGAAUAUGGGCAACAUAAAAUUCCAAAGCAGGCAAAACUAAUCCUGUUAACAGUCAACAGUCUCACUGGCUACGUUCAGUGAGAAGGUUGGGGGGGGUGGUUACUGAUAGAGAAGGGGCUGAAGGUCCCUCCCCUGGUUGGGGAAGCUGGCCGACCUGGAUGGUGAUUCUUUUUCUUGACCUGGAUGGUGAUUACACAGGUGUGUUUACUUGGUGAUAAUUCAGUGAGCUGUACACCUGCGAAUUGCGUAUACUUCUGAACAUGGGUUAUAUUCUCCCAUUUAAAAGAGAAGUCUAUAAAAUAAAAGCAACAGACAUUGGACUGACUAUAACAUAUUGUUUGUUG
This 1872-nucleotide long non-coding RNA is filed under the name Sus scrofa (pig). RNAcentral's name for it is "lncRNA (ENSSSCG00045005160.1)". The record is from RNAcentral. Lineage: Eukaryota; Metazoa; Chordata; Mammalia; Artiodactyla; Suidae.